This 562-nucleotide ribosomal RNA is filed under the name uncultured euryarchaeote. RNAcentral's name for it is "bacterial SSU rRNA". It matches the Rfam family "Archaeal small subunit ribosomal RNA", at positions 309 to 869 of the family's 1478-position model. The record is from RNAcentral. Lineage: Archaea; Methanobacteriati; Methanobacteriota.
CAAGGACCCUAGUCCUACGGGAUGCAGCAGGCGCGAAACCUCUNCAAUGCGCGAAAGCGUGACAGGGGAAGUCUGAGUGGCGGAAACUUAGUUUCCGUCUUUUGCCAAGUGCAAAUAGCUUGGAGAAUAAGGGUGUGGGCAAGACUGGUGGCAGCCGCCGCGGUAACACCAGCGCCUCGAGUGGUACCCACGAAUAUUGGGCCUAAAGCGCCCGUAGCCGGACCAUUAAGUCCGCUGUGAAAUGUUGGGGCUCAACCCUAACGCGCGCAGUGGAUACUGUUGGUCUUGGGAAUGGGGGAGGGUCGGGGUACUUCCAGGGUAGGGGUAAAAUCCGUUGAGCCCGGAAGGACCACCAGUGGCGAAGGCGCCGAUCCAAAACAUAUCCGACGGUGAGGGACGAAAGCUGGGGGAGCGAACGGGAUUAGAUACCCCGGUAGUCCCAGCUGUAAAUGAUGCAGACUUUGGUGUUGCUUAUGAGUAAUCAUAGGCAGUGCUGUAGCGUAGGUGUUAAGUCUGCCGCCUGGGGAGUACGAUCGCAAGAUUGAAACUUAAAGGAAUUGGC